UUUCCGUAGGUGAACCUGCGGAAGGAUCAUUAAAGAGUUAUGUAUCUUCGGGUACUAUCUCCAACCAAUUGUGAACUUAUCUUGUUGCCUCGACAUACGAUGAGUACCCGUAAGGUGUACCCAUCCUUCGGUUGUUCGCACCUGAAGAGUGAUGUCGAAGGAUUUUCAAACUAUACUUAAUCAAUUUAUCUGAGUUAAAACAAAUAAAAACAAAACUUUCAACAACGGAUCUCUUGGUUCUGGCAUCGAUGAAGAACGCAGC
This 262-nucleotide unclassified non-coding RNA is filed under the name uncultured fungus. Its description in RNAcentral is "sequence contains ITS1, 5.8S rRNA gene". The stretch from base 214 to 262 matches the Rfam family "5.8S ribosomal RNA", at positions 1 to 49 of the family's 154-position model. Lineage: Eukaryota; Fungi. The record is from RNAcentral.